AAUCAACGCUGGCGGCGUGCCUCAGACAUGCAAGUCGAACGAUUAAACUUUCCUUCGGGAAAGAUAUAAAGUGGCGCACGGGUGAGUAACACGUAAGUAAUCUACCCUCGAGUGGGGAAUAACGUUCGGAAACGGACGCUAAUACCGCAUAAUGCAGCGGCACCGCAAGGUGACAGUUGUUAAAGAUUUAUCGCUUGAGGAGGAGCUUGCGGCAGAUUAGCUAGUUGGUAAGGUAACGGCUACCAAGGCUACGAUCUGUAACCGGUCUAAGAGGACGGUCGGUCACACUGACACUGAAUAACGGGUCAGACUCCUACGGGAGGCAGCAGUCGGGAAUUUUGGGCAAUGGGCGAAAGCCUGACCCAGCAACGCCGCGUGAAGGAUGAAGUAUUUCGGUAUGUAAAC
RNAcentral lists this ribosomal RNA (405 nucleotides) under uncultured bacterium. Its description in RNAcentral is "bacterial SSU rRNA". It matches the Rfam family "Bacterial small subunit ribosomal RNA", at positions 32 to 430 of the family's 1533-position model. The record is from RNAcentral.